RNAcentral lists this ribosomal RNA (692 nucleotides) under uncultured beta proteobacterium. Its description in RNAcentral is "bacterial SSU rRNA". It matches the Rfam family "Bacterial small subunit ribosomal RNA", at positions 771 to 1460 of the family's 1533-position model. Lineage: Bacteria; Pseudomonadati; Pseudomonadota; Betaproteobacteria. The record is from RNAcentral.
AACAGGAUUAGAUACCCUGGUAGUCCACGCCCUAAACGAUGUCUACUAGUUGUCGGGUCUUAAUUGACUUGGUAACGCAGCUAACGCGUGAAGUAGACCGCCUGGGGAGUACGGUCGCAAGAUUAAAACUCAAAGGAAUUGACGGGGACCCGCACAAGCGGUGGAUGAUGUGGAUUAAUUCGAUGCAACGCGAAAAACCUUACCUACCCUUGACAUGGAUGGAAGCCCCGAGAGAUUGGGGCGUGCCCGAAAGGGAACCAUCACACAGGUGCUGCAUGGCUGUCGUCAGCUCGUGUCGUGAGAUGUUGGGUUAAGUCCCGCAACGAGCGCAACCCUUGUCAUUAGUUGCCACAUUCAGUUGGGCACUCUAAUGAGACUGCCGGUGACAAACCGGAGGAAGGUGGGGAUGACGUCAAGUCCUCAUGGCCCUUAUGGGUAGGGCUUCACACGUCAUACAAUGGUACAUACAGAGGGCUGCCAACCCGCGAGGGGGAGCUAAUCCCAGAAAGUGUAUCGUAGUCCGGAUUGCAGUCUGCAACUCGACUGCAUGAAGUUGGAAUCGCUAGUAAUCGCGGAUCAGCAUGUCGCGGUGAAUACGUUCCCGGGUCUUGUACACACCGCCCGUCACACCAUGGGAGUUGGAUUCACCCGAAGGCGUUGCGCUAACUCAGCAAUGAGAGGCAGGCGACCAC